This 437-nucleotide ribosomal RNA is filed under the name uncultured bacterium. RNAcentral's name for it is "bacterial SSU rRNA". It matches the Rfam family "Bacterial small subunit ribosomal RNA", at positions 355 to 796 of the family's 1533-position model. The record is from RNAcentral.
UCGAGGAUCUUCGGCAAUGGGCGCAAGCCUGACCGAGCGAUGCCGCGUGUGCGAUGAAGGCCUUCGGGUUGUAAAGCACUGUCGGGGGGGAGAAAAGCCUCGCAAGAGGUGUGAUCGACCCCCGGAGGAAGCACGGGCUAAGUUCGUGCCAGCAGCCGCGGUAAGACGAACCGUGCGAACGUUGUUCGGAAUCACUGGGCUUAAAGGGCGCGUAGGCGGGCUGCCAAGUCAGGGGUGAAAUCCUGCGGCUCAACCGUAGAAGUGCCUUUGAUACUGGUGGUCUUGAGGGAGGUAGGGGCGUGCGGAACUUCCGGUGGAGCGGUGAAAUGCGUAGAUAUCGGAAGGAACACCGGUGGCGAAAGCGGCGCGCUGGACCUCUUCUGACGCUGAGGCGCGAAAGCCAGGGGAGCGAACGGGAUUAGAUACCCCCGUAGUCC